UUUGCCCCCUCUCUCUCUCUCUCUCUCUCUCUCUCUCUUUUUCUCUUUUUUAUUCUUUCUCUCGUUUUCUAUCUGUGUUUCGCCCAUUUUCUAUUAUGGAGUGUUCUAUGUGAACCGUGUUUUUUGCGUUACCGUGUUUCUUUCUAAUACAAGUUUGGAGAACAGGUCUCGUGAUUUCUUUUACCUACUUCCAAAGAAUUGAGUGCGUUAGAAACGAGAAAGACACGGUGUUUUUGAGAAAGAAAUCAGAGGAAAACUGAACUGUGACGAGGAAAAAGAUUGAAGAAGUAACAGGAUAUUUCAGUCAUAUCAGGUCUUUCUGCCCACACAGUGAAACGUGCUACGCAAAAGUACGAUCGAAGAGAAGAUAGCAAGGAUCGACGGUGUACUGUGAACGCUUUGAAAUAUUAACCAUUUAGUGCUUAUAAACGAGGACGAAUUUGCUUAAAAGUUCGUAGUAAGUUUAAAUUUGAACGAAUCGGUGAAGAAAGUAAGGCAGAAGAAUUAGAAAAAAGAAAGUAUCAGAGAAGAAAAAAGAUAAGUGCAUCGAGAAAAAGAAAAACGAAUAUUGAGAAAAUAAUGUGACAGGCAAGUUGGGUCAAUGAGUCCAGGUGGUGUCCUGUGAUUCACGGUCAGUUUAGAAUGGAUCACGUGGACCAAUCCGUAACUGCACGUAUGGAGAAUAACGCGUCCUCGAACAUGUCUGUAGGUUCGCGAAUAACGAGGAAUUGCUCGCGGUGUCGAAAUCAUGGACAAAAAAUUGCCCAGAAGGGCCACGGAAAAGACUGUAAGUACCGCGAUUGCGUCUGUGAACGUUGUAAACUUUUUUCUGAUCGACGAAGCAUGAUGGCCAGGAAUACUGAAUUGAGAAGAACUAUGACUCAAGACGAGGAUUCAACAUCCCUCUCCAUAGAUGGUUCCUCGCUCGGUUCGGGUCCGCAAUCCGUGAAGAAUCUCGAAGGAAGUUACGACAGCAGCAGCGGCGACUCGCCAAUCAGCAAUCACGGAAGCAACGAAAUGCAGGACGGGAACAGCGACGUUGCUGGAAUUGCUUCCUCAAAAAAGGCACCAUCUUCAAAUCGUUCGCCAGCCACAACAUCUUGGCCACAAUGGCAGGCUGGGGCAGAUUCAAACGCAUCUUGGGACGCAUCCUCGACCUCGAACAGCGGCACCAACUCACGUACGAAACCAACGUGCACACGUUGCCGUAAUCAUGACGUUACCAGCAUUCUUAAGGGUCACAAGAGGUACUGCGACUUUAUUUACUGUCAUUGCGUUAAAUGCCGUAACACACUUAAGCGCCAGAAGCAGAUGGCAAAACAAACCGCACUUAAAAGGGCUCUUAUUCAAGACGAGGAACAAAUAAGAAAGUAUGGUAAGAGAGAUCGUAAUCUCGUUUAUUUGUCGAUGCAGCUGGUGAUGCCAGCGAUGCCUCCAGCAGUAGAAAACAAGCAUAUACCAACUGUCCCUCGACCAGCGUGGAGCGUCGAAGGCAGUUACGGUGGCAUCAAUGGCGUACUUAAUACUCCAACUCCAAGAAAAUUACCAGUCGUAGAUACGCACUUGCCUCCUUCGAUCUAUCAGAUUCAACCACAACCCAGCAUCAACGACGAAAUUAUAUUGGCAUACAGUAUGAAUCUCCUGCAACGAUUCCGACAUCCUAGUGAUAUGCUCACGCUAAUGUUUAGCACAGUGAAGAAUGCCGGUGCGAAUCUUGAAGAGACUCUCAGACGUAUCGAGGAAGUUAAACAUUGGAUACUGGAAGUUUACUGUACAUUAACUACAUACGUAAUGGAAAAUUUUUUAUUACUCUUAUAUAUAGCUUUCGUUAUAUAUAUUUAUCAUUCAAAAAUUAACGAGGAUUCCAAAGGUGAUUUUAAUAACAUUGAUAAUAAUUUAUCUAUAAUUUGUAAGAAAGAUUAUAUAGACCGUUUUAUUUAUCUUUAAUGACAUAGAAAGCGAAUAUAGAUUUUUCGAAACAAAAGGAACAAAAACGGUUAUAUGUUACUAAAUCAUUUUCUAUUGAAAUUAUCGAUAGAUCAGUUGGAGCAUUUUAAAAGAUAAAUGUUUAAAAAAUAAUUUAUUAUUCUUCAUAUUAUCGCCUAAUUUAAAGUUGAUAAUAAUAUUACUAUCGUCGUUGAAGUUGGCAAAGUUUUACAAAGAUUCGGCUAAAUUUAAUCACGCAUGUUGGAUCAUAAAAAUAAACUAUCUUCGUGUGCACAAUGAUAUUCUUCUCUUAACUUAUACCAAUUCUCAAAUUUGAAAAAGUAUUUUACAUAGACGAUCGUGUUUGUAAAUCUAUCAAACAGAAUAUAAUUUAAAUCAUUAAAAUUCAUUAUCUUAACAGUUGUGUUCCUAUUUUAAUAAAUAAAUGCACGCUGAUACUUAAUUUAAUCUUAACUAUGUUAAUUUUUAGUUCAAUCUUAACUAUGUUCUUUGUUCCAAUAUUAUGCUACUUGAGAAUAUUAAAACUAUUGAGGUUCAUGAUAAAUAAUGCUUGUAUAUUCUAUUAAAAAAACGAUUAUUAAACAACUCACAUAAAUUUGAUUCGCGAUUAAAACACAUUUUAAGAUUAUAGAAAGCAAUUAUCUAGUACGCGAUGAACAAACUUUAUACUUUUUUUUUCAAUUUUUUUUACAUAUUUAUUUAUUACUAAUGGAAGAAAGAAAGCGUAAAAAUGUUAGAAAAUGAAGGGAAAUAUAAACUCAUAAAGCAAUCAUCAAAAUAAUAUUUUAUAUGAGUUACGUGAAGCGUAAUAUCAAAUGUUUAAUAUCAAAUGCCAUCGGUCAUGUCAUGUGUGUUAGACGAAACGUAACAUUAGAUAUGUAAGCUUAUUUAUUCUACCGCGAACGAUUUUACAUAAUGUAUAUUACUACGUUAGAUAUGUAUAGAUGCAUGAAAAUACGUAAUAUAACGUAUUCACAGUUCUACUUUAAUCCUUAAGUAUUAUAUUAAACUUGUUCUUUCGCGUAUAUAAAGUCAAUUCUAUAAAUUAAACUAUACCGUUUUCUAUUAGUUAGAAUAAUAUAAACGAGUUUUAGAUCAGUGAAGAUUUUUUAACGAAUAUUAAAUUUCGUCACUUUUUAAUAGUUAUUUAAUAGUUAAACGAACAAACAAGCUUUAUGUAUAUGUACGUUUAUAUUUUUUUUUUUUGAAAUAUUUAUUUAUCAUGCCUUUAUCGAAUUAACAAUGAUUGAGUUAAGAAAGAGUAUCUCAUUUUGUUGUAAUAAGUGCAAGAAAUUAAUUCGUGCCAACUUCAAUGCGAUCAGUAAUAUUUCCAGUUGUAAUAAAAUAAGAAUUAAUAUUAAAUCCGUUCAAUCGAUAUGACAAAUGUCAAAUCAGCGUUUAUUGACAUUUAUCUUCUCUCGAAGAUCAACGUUGAUUCAAGAACAAUCUACAAUUUCUUGAAAUUACCAUCAUUGAAGAUGAUACACGACGGUAUGAAGAUUUUGUUUUUUUUUUAAAUUAUUUUUAUCAUUUUCUACACAUUUUUAUUUAAUGAUACUCGGUUCAUUAGAGUAUCCCUGCCUUUGAUUAAAAACAUUUUAUAAUAUAUCUCCGUCCGUGAAUUAAUAUAAUUACUUUUCAACGCGUCAAGAUCAUGAAUGCCAAAGCACAAGCACUUUGACAAUGGGAUCAAGAGUAUCUAAGAGCUUGGAAAGUAGCCAAUCGAGCCCAAAUUACGCGUCUCACUUUCCCCUUCGACUAUGAGAUUUAUUUCAUUCAAGGUUAUCCUAAUGAAAAAAGCAAAAAAAUAUAUAUAUAUAAAAUAAUAAAAUCCCAAAGGAAUUCUUAAUUUUACUUGAUUUUUCUAUAUUGUUACAUUUAUCAUGAAUUUUUUUAAGCUAUCUAUAUUUUUAAUUAUUCAUACAUAUUCUAAUUAUUCAUGCCUUUCUAAUUAUACAACACAAUAGGACAAUAUUUAAAUCUAUUUUCAUUUAAAUUUUAUUUUUUUAAAUUAUUCCGGAUAUCAUAUAACUACGAUCUACAUUGUCAUUGCAAAAGAAAGAUAUUGCAAUAAAAAAGAAAAUAAAUAAUGAUAGGAACAAAUAAGUGAUGUAUAAAAAAAGAAAUUCAAAUAUUUCAUGAGAACAACUAUUUUUAUAGUUUUCUAAUUGGAGUGAUAAAUGUUCAUACAGAUUAUAAGAAAGAUCAGUAAAUGCAAGAUGCCAUUCAUGUUUCGUCGAUUCGCGAAAAUAUUCCUAAGCGCCCAAAUAAUCGAAAGGAUUUCUUUUUUAUUUCUUUUUCAAGUGAUCAUUAAAUACACAUGUAAAUAAUCUGUCGAUAAUUUUAUUUAUAGUUUAUUAUCUCGGUUCUCGAACUUUCCGUUCGAUAAUAAUGACGACAUUAUGCUUGAAAGUUUAUCAAAUAACAAAUUUUGUGUAUUUAUUAAACGCUCAAUCAAAAUUCGUUUUCUCUUUUCUUAUAUUAUGGAAUCUUAAUCACGAAUUUAAAGCUUUAAUUUACAAUGUGAUUACUUAAGAUCAUUACAUGAUUUUGCAUAUCAAAUAAAACGUUAAAAUAUAACUUUUCUUAAUAACAUUAAAUGAUAUUCCAUAUGUAACGUUACGAUUAAAUAAUUUGCUUUCGUAUAACGCGAUAAGUUUAUUAAUAAAAUAUACAGAAUUAUCAAUAUCGAUUAUAUAUUUUUUUGUUUCUUGAAAGAACAUAGACACUUAUCUAAAUGCAUUUUCAUAAAAAGGUAUUUUAAAUAAAUUUAAAUGAAUGAUGCAACACGUCAAUCGUCUAUAUUUCAAUGCAGCGCAAUUUAUCGGUAAUAUGAUGGUAAAUUUACAAAAAAAAAAAAAAAAAACUAAACGUCAUUAAGUAUUUCUUGCCUGAAUUAACGUACAAGAAGGUAUUUAACAGAGCAUAAAGGAGAUAGUUGAGUAAUUCGUUAAGACACGUGGUUAAAUGUAGACUAUCAGCUGCUGCUAAAAGUGAAUCGUUAUAUAUCACUUAAGGAAUCCUUUUAUUCCUUAAUUAAAAAACAAAAAAAAAAUGAUUACAAGAGUGAUUCAAAUUAUUUCUGAAAAUAAUUACUUCCACAUAUACUAUUUUAAUUUAAUAUCGUUAGAACGCUCUCUGAUAGUAAAAAUUUAAUAUUAUCAUUAUUAUCUUAUAAAUUAUACUGUAUUGAAGUAGCAUGACUAAUUUGCAUAAUUAAUUAUAUGUAAUAGUUAGUAAAAAAUACAAUAUUCUUUCCCUCUUAACGAUAUUAUAGUAGCGAUAUAUAAACUAAUGGAGGAAGUCAUUAUUAUCCAAAUGAACGUUUCAUCAACCUACCGGGUAACAAUAAUUAGAUAGUAUGUAUUCACAAUACAUCUUUGAUUGUGAAAUGCAAACAAUAACAUAGCAUUAUUGUUAGAAAAUAAGAUCUAAUUUUUCUUAAUAUAAUUUGUCUUAAAAUGCAGAAAUUGAUAGAUAAAUGUUACAGCAAAAUUGAUCAAUUUCAAUGAGUAAAAUUUUUGUUACUUUUCGAAUCUUUGAUAUAAAUUUCAAUAGAAUAAAGUACAUGCAAUAAUUUCAAAUGAUGUUGAUUUAGUUUCGUAUGAAUUAAUUGAUAAUAAUUCAUUAAUUUUUGUUGAAUAUAUUUUCAACGUAAAUUCAUUUUUAUCGAUGGAGAAUAUCAAAAUUUAUUCCACGAAUGGUUUAAUUUGCACUUGCAAUGUACUUGCAUGUAAUUAUAAAUAAUUCCAAGGUAAAAUGCUUCGUGUCAAAAAGUUCAUGAUGCCAAAGGUGUCUCGGUAACAAACACAUACACUUUACAAGGAAAGACUUCCGUGAACGAGCUUCCGAGCAUUUGAAUAACGGUCGCCUUGGGCAGUGUUGCAUUCUUUCAUUAUACGAUGACAUUUGCAUUUUCACGAAGCUUGAUGUUUCGAAAUAUCGUCGAGUAGUUUCCUUUAAAAAAAAAAAAUAAUGAAAAUUUACGAUAAGUACGUAUUAUUGCUAUUAGUUAUUGAUAUCGUAUGAAAAUGAAAAAUGAUAAGUAGUAAAAGUUUUAGAGGGAAAGAAUCAUACAAUUAAGAAAUGACAAAAAGCCAUUUAUCAAACUAGCAUAUAUUAUCGAAAAAAAAUUUUGCUCGCGUAAAAAUAUUAAGUAUUGAUUUUUUUUAGUAAGAAAUACAAACGAAUCUUAGAACCAAUCUAAUAAAAUAUCAAUGAAAUGUGUAAUAGCUCGACGAAGGUCGUAUAUAUAAUAAGAGGAAAAGAAAAAAAAAUCUUUUCGAUUUAUUAAAAUAUCUAUCAAAAAAAAAAAAAAUACUUAACUACAUUAUUAGAUUGCAUCUCUUAUGACGAGCACGGAGAAAAACGACAGAGAGAACAUUUGACCUUGUGUAAGUGCAUCGAUGUUCAUAGCUCACGUGCACGUCAAAUUUGCGUACGAGUAAAGCAACCUCUACGAACGCAAAACACAAUGACGCACGCCUACUCGGCGACGAUAGCUGGCAAACUCGUUCGUAAUCCUGCGUCGUUACAGCAAAACGUAAAUGAAGUGCUGUAAGUCUUUCAAUCGAAUAAACGACAAAUAAUAUUCGAAGCGAUUUUACGUAUUACAAUGCGAUUGCGAUUUUUCAUAAAAAUAUAUACCGGCUAAUUAAUUGUUAAUAAAACGAUAUCUUGAUGAAAAAUUAA
Vespula pensylvanica (western yellowjacket) is the source of this 6639-nucleotide RNA transcript. It is a transcript of the gene named protein doublesex-like, with no coding region annotated. Lineage: Eukaryota; Metazoa; Arthropoda; Insecta; Hymenoptera; Vespidae. The record is from RefSeq and is a predicted model, not a curated record. The transcript has 9 exons.